RNAcentral lists this ribosomal RNA (375 nucleotides) under uncultured organism. RNAcentral's name for it is "partial 16S ribosomal RNA". It matches the Rfam family "Bacterial small subunit ribosomal RNA", at positions 524 to 896 of the family's 1533-position model. The record is from RNAcentral.
CGGGGGGGGGGCAAGCGUUGUUCGGAAUUACUGGGCGUAAAGGGCGCGCAGGCGGCUUGGCCAGUCCUACGUGAAAUCCCACAGCUCAACUGUGGAACUGCGUGGGAUACUGCCCAGGCUUGAGUCCGGGAGAGGAGAGUGGAAUUCCCAGUGUAGCGGUGAAAUGCGUAGAUAUUGGGAGGAACACCGGUGGCGAAGGCGGCUCUCUGGACCGGUACUGACGCUGAGGCGCGAAAGCUAGGGGAGCAAACGGGAUUAGAUACCCCGGUAGUCCUAGCCGUAAACUUUGAGCACUUGGUGUGGCGGGUAUCGACCCCUGCCGUGCCGAAGCUAACGCAUUAAGUGCUCCGCCUGGGGAGUACGGUCGCAAGGCUG